AGAGUUUGAUCCUGGCUCAGGAUGAACGCUAGCUACAGGCUUAACACAUGCAAGUCGAGGGGAAACGAUGAGAGAGCUUGCUCUCUUAGGUGUCGACCGGCGCACGGGUGAGUAACGCGUAUCCAACCUGCCUCUGACCAAGGGAUAACCCGUCGAAAGUCGGACUAAUACCUUAUGUAGUCGUCGGAAGUCAUCUGAUGACGACGAAAGAUUUCAUCGGUGAGGGAUGGGGAUGCGUCUGAUUAGCUUGUUGGCGGGGUAACGGCCCACCAAGGCUACGAUCAGUAGGGGUUCUGAGAGGAAGGUCCCCCACAUUGGAACUGAGACACGGUCCAAACUCCUACGGGAGGCAGCAGUGAGGAAUAUUGGUCAAUGGGCGAGAGCCUGAACCAGCCAAGUAGCGUGCAGGAUGACGGCCCUAUGGGUUGUAAACUGCUUUUAUGCGGGGAUAAAGUGAGGGACGUGUCCUGUUGCAUGUACCCUUGGAAUAAGGACCGGCUAAUUCCGUGCCAGCAGCCGCGGUAAUACGGAAGGUCCGGGUGUUAUCCGGAUUUAUUGGGUUUAAAGGGAGCGUAGGCCGCAGGUUAAGUGUGUUGUGAAAAGCAGUCGCCCAACGUCUGCCUUGCAGCGCAAACUGUCCUGCUUGAGUGCGCACAACGCAGGCGGAAUUCGUCGUGUAGCGGUGAAAUGCUUAGAUAUGACGAAGAACUCCGAUUGCGAAGGCAGCUUGCGGGAGCGCAACUGACGCUGAAGCUCGAAAGUGCGGGUAUCGAACAGGAUUAGAUACCCUGGUAGUCCGCACGGUAAACGCUGGAUGCCCGUUUUUGGCUUAUUUUAAGUCAGAGACCAAGCGAAAGCAUUAAGCAUCCCACCUGGGGAGUACGCCGGCAACGGUGAAACUCAAAGGAAUUGACGGGGGCCCGCACAAGCGGAGGAACAUGUGGUUUAAUUCGAUGAUACGCGAGGAACCUUACCCGGGCUUGAAUUGCCAGAGACGGCUCCAGAGAUGGAGCUUCCCUUCGGGGCUCUGGUGAAGGUGCUGCAUGGUUGUCGUCAGCUCGUGCCGUGAGGUGUCGGCUUAAGUGCCAUAACGAGCGCAACCCCUUUCUUCAGUUGCCAUCGGGUAAUGCCGGGCACUCUGUAGAUACUGCCGCCGUAAGGUGU
RNAcentral lists this ribosomal RNA (1164 nucleotides) under Prevotella sp. oral clone AO009. Its description in RNAcentral is "bacterial SSU rRNA". It matches the Rfam family "Bacterial small subunit ribosomal RNA", at positions 8 to 1166 of the family's 1533-position model. Lineage: Bacteria; Pseudomonadati; Bacteroidota; Bacteroidia; Bacteroidales; Prevotellaceae. The record is from RNAcentral.